AUUGAACGCUGGCGGAAUGCUUUACACAUGCAAGUCGAACGGCAGCACGGACUUCGGUCUGGUGGCGAGUGGCGAACGGGUGAGUAAUGUAUCGGAACGUGCCCAGUCGUGGGGGAUAACGUAGUGAAAAUUACGCUAAUACCGCAUACGAUCUAUGGAUGAAAGCGGGGGAUCGCAAGACCUCGCGCGAUUGGAGCGGCCGAUAUCAGAUUAGGUAGUUGGUGGGGUAAAGGCCCACCAAGCCAACGAUCUGUAGCUGGUCUGAGAGGACGACCAGCCACACUGGAACAGGGAAACGGUCCAGACUCCUACGAGAGGCAGCAGUGGGGAAUUUUGGACAAUGGGCGAAAGCCUGAUCCAGCCAUUCCGCGUGCAGGAUGAAGGCCCUCGGGUUGUAAACUGCUUUUGUACAGAACGAAAAGGUUUCUACUAAUACUAGGAGCUCAUGACGGUACUGUAAGAAUAAGCACCGGCUAACUACGUGCCAGCCGCCGCAGUAA
Molecule: ribosomal RNA, 500 nt
Filed under: uncultured bacterium
Lineage: Bacteria
Description: partial 16S ribosomal RNA
Rfam family: Bacterial small subunit ribosomal RNA
Source: RNAcentral